UUAGCAGAGAAUGUGUAUCGGCGUGGCGCGACGAAGGUGCGCCAAUCGCCGAAAGGUGAUCUCUGCGAAAUCGAGAAGGGGAAGGUGGGCAGUUGGAGCUCAACUUUCCAUUGAGCUCUUCAACAAUCAUCUUCCCCACAUUC
Rhodamnia argentea is the source of this 143-nucleotide small nucleolar RNA. RefSeq annotates it as small nucleolar RNA snoR135. The transcript has a single exon. The record is from RefSeq and is a predicted model, not a curated record. Lineage: Eukaryota; Viridiplantae; Streptophyta; Magnoliopsida; Myrtales; Myrtaceae.